This 938-nucleotide ribosomal RNA is filed under the name uncultured bacterium. RNAcentral describes it as "bacterial SSU rRNA". It matches the Rfam family "Bacterial small subunit ribosomal RNA", at positions 563 to 1499 of the family's 1533-position model. The record is from RNAcentral.
AAGCGUGCGCAGGCGGUUUUGUAAGUCAGAUGUGAAAUCCCCGAGCUCAACUUGGGAACUGCGUUUGAAACUACAAGACUAGAAUAUGUCAGAGGGGGGUAGAAUUCCACGUGUAGCAGUGAAAUGCGUAGAGAUGUGGAGGAAUACCAAUGGCGAAGGCAGCCCCCUGGGAUAAUAUUGACGCUCAUGCACGAAAGCGUGGGGAGCAAACAGGAUUAGAUACCCUGGUAGUCCACGCCCUAAACGAUGUCUACUAGUUGUUGGUGGAGUAAAAUCCAUGAGUAACGCAGCUAACGCGUGAAGUAGACCGCCUGGGGAGUACGGUCGCAAGAUUAAAACUCAAAUGAAUUGACGGGGGCCCGCACAAGCGGUGGAUUAUGUGGAUUAAUUCGAUGCAACGCGAAAAACCUUACCUGGCCUUGACAUGUAACGAACUUUCCAGAGAUGGAUUGGUGCUCGAAAGAGAGCGUUAACACAGGUGCUGCAUGGCUGUCGUCAGCUCGUGUCGUGAGAUGUUGGGUUAAGUCCCGCAACGAGCGCAACCCUUGCCAUUAAUUGCCAUCAUUUAGUUGGGCACUUUAAUGGGACUGCCGGUGACAAACCGGAGGAAGGUGGGGAUGACGUCAAGUCCCCAUGGCCCUUAUGGCCAGGGCUUCACACGUAAUACAAUGGUCGGUACAGAGGGUUGCCAAGCCGCGAGGUGGAGCCAAUCCCAGAAAGCCGAUCGUAGUCCGGAUUGUAGUCUGCAACUCGACUACAUGAAGUCGGAAUCGCUAGUAAUCGCGGAUCAGCAUGUCGCGGUGAAUACGUUCCCGGGCCUUGUACACACCGCCCGUCACACCAUGGGAGUGGGUUUUACCAGAAGUAGGUAGUCUAACCUUCGGGAGGACGCUUACCACGGUAGUAUUCAUGACUGGGGUGAAGUCGUAACAAGGUAA